AAUGGGAUAACUGCCUGGCACUCACCAAGCUACACUUGAAGAGGAUCAAUCCAUGUCAUCAUGUCCCCAAUUUCAUAGCACCAAGUAUUUUGUUUAUUCACAAAUGCCCUAUUAUGGACAUCUAGCAAACAAUGAUACAUCAGAAAAGGAGAUGUGCAUAAAUUUUCAUGGAAUAAGGGAUGCGCAUGAAAGAAUGUGCCACAGAAAAUGAGACACAUCAAUGAGGAUUCAGCUCUAAUAGAUCAUGUUCCUGCUUAAAAGUCUCCAGGACUCACCAUUACAUAGGGGAUAAAGUCUAAGUUGUGGAAAAUGCACUAGAAUCAACAAACAUGGGGACUAAUUCAACUCGGAUAUCAUGUCUUCAGAGAAGUUUCUCCUGCCCUCCUCUCCCUGUAGAAUUAAGUAUUCUUCCACUGUGCCACCCUCUAACUUGUGCUCAUAUCUUCCUCUAUUGUAGUUAUGUGUUCACAUCCCUGUUGUUUUUGUACCGGCUUCUCCCAAAGGGAGACAUUUAGUCUUAUUCUUCUUGGUAACUUUAGCACAGACCUGGCAGAUUGUUGACACUCAACAAAUGUUUAUUGACUCAAAUGCAUUCAGUUGAACAUUGACCUUUGAUCAACUCUGGGAAAAGUCUGCAAAGCUAGUUAGGACAUUCAGAAAUUCAUUUCAUUUCAAUCCUAACUAAAUAAAUUAUUGAAGUCUCA
RNAcentral lists this long non-coding RNA (704 nucleotides) under Homo sapiens (human). RNAcentral describes it as "mir-99a-let-7c cluster host gene". Lineage: Eukaryota; Metazoa; Chordata; Mammalia; Primates; Hominidae. The record is from RNAcentral.